AUACGGAGGAUGCGAGCGUUCUCCGGAUUUAUUGGGUUUAAAGGGUGCGUAGGCGGACGAUUAAGUCAGCUGUGAAAUGCCCGCGCUUAACGCGGGAAGUGCAGUUGAUACUGGUUGUCUGGAGUGCCGUUGCCGUGGGGGGAAUGUGUAGUGUAGCGGUGAAAUGCAUAGAUAUUACACAGAACGCCGAUUGUGAAGACACCUCCAGAAGCGGUAACUGACGCUGGGCCCCGACAGCGGGGGGAUCGAACAGGAUUAGAUACGCUGUUAGACCAAGCGGGAAACGCUGAUGAUUAACCGUGGGCGAUAGCCCGCCGGUGGCCAAGCGAAAGCGAUAAGUCAUCCGCCUGGGGAGUACGAACGCAAGGUUGAAACUUAAAGGAAUUGACGGGG
This 393-nucleotide ribosomal RNA is filed under the name uncultured bacterium. Its description in RNAcentral is "partial 16S ribosomal RNA". It matches the Rfam family "Bacterial small subunit ribosomal RNA", at positions 523 to 918 of the family's 1533-position model. The record is from RNAcentral.